Long non-coding RNA from Esox lucius (northern pike), 1901 nucleotides. The record is from Ensembl. Lineage: Eukaryota; Metazoa; Chordata; Actinopteri; Esociformes; Esocidae.
UUUCAACUAUUAAUUAAUGUCUUUUUAUACAUCUACAAAAAAAACAAGUAUGCAUCAUGUAGAGUUCCAUGUAAAGAAUCACAGUUGUUUUAUUUGAUACUGCUGAUCUUCCAAAUCAACUAAGAACACAGCCCUGCUCAACCUGCACCCACUCCAUUUGAAGACUACAGAACAGUGAUGACCAGUCUCGUUUACAGAAAGUUGACCUAAUUGAGGGUUCCUUUCUAUCCAUGUAUUGAAUGAAGGACUGUAUUCAAGCCAUUCAGUCCAUCCAAGUUUUUCUAUACAAAAAGAAGCUAAAGUGAACCUUCUCAAAAGAUAACCCCAAAACAAAGACUGGGCACCACGGUUUAGCUAACUAAAACUAACUUGAAAAAGACACUGCUGUAUUUACAAGCCACAUGAGAUACAAAAAUAAAGUUUCUUAAAAAAAAGACAUUAACAUCCAAAAUGAUGAUAAUGUCUUUUUCCUGUUUAUUUACUUAAUAUUUAUAUAUUUUUUUACAAAAUAAGAAACAAAAAAGCUAACAGGUUUGUGAGGAUUUGAGAAGGGGGAAAGCCAUUGAACAAACAAGGACUACAGUACUUGUGUUUUUAUAUAUAUAUGUAAAUAUAUAUAUAUAUAUAUAUAUGUACAAGACAAGUUUAUCCAUUUAAAUUCUUUUAAAACGCACAGUACAAAAAAAGAAAAAUAAAUCACUGACAAAAAGAAAAAGAAAAUUAUAAGUACAAUUCUGUCCAUCAGUAAUCAUUGCUGCAGGUUUCUGAAUAACAAUAUAUUGGGGGAACAGCAGGAGGGGGGAGCAUGUUGGGGGCUUAGAAAAAAAACUGAACAGGAAACACAGAGCUAAGGUAAUGGCGUGUCCUGACCUCUCGCACUGGCCUCUGGUACAACGCCAUUUUCUACUCCAGAUUCUCUAGUGGAAUAAGCAACAACCUACCGAUGUAACAAACUUUUAAUAGGGGUAAAGACAUUUUAUAACAACGGAUAUUGGGAACAAAGUUUAUGUUGCAUGAGUGUGAUAGGUCUGUACCUCACUGUGGAAGUAACGAGAGGACCAAAACACACCAAAGCCCCGCAGUGUUACACACACACACACACACACACACACACACACACACACACACACACACACACACACACACACACACACACACACACACACACACACACACACACACACACAACCCCGGUUGCGCUCGCUUAUACAUCUUUAUAUAUAUCUAUAUUUGGUAAAAAAUAAACUUCACAAUUCCUCUGCCAAUUAAGAGAAUCCAUUCUUGAAACUAAAAAUGUUGUAAAAACUCAACGGGAGCCAAAGGAGAAAGGUAAUUUGUGUUUGGGUAUAGAGUGGGGGCAGGGUAAGAGUACAUGUUCACUACUUACAGGGGUGAGGAAACAGCCUGUACCCCCACCUUCCGGUGCAACUCCCAUUGGUAAAAAAAAACUAAACAAAAGCCAAACAAAGUAAUUCGUUCUUUUAGAAAAAAAAAAACUAUGUUACAUACAACAGAGAAGUAGGGUGGGAUGUUGAACACAAUACAAAUUCCAAACACUCAGUAAUCCGCUCUGAACAGUCUGUUACAAUAACCAUACAACUUCACUCUUCCUCUCUUUUUAAGACGGCUGCCGUUCCUCCUCCAAACCACCACUGCCCUCUGCACGACCAUAGAGAUCAGCGCUUGCCCUCUCUCGGGACUGCGCCACCUUUGGCAGAGGGGGGAGUACGGCAGAUUUCACUGAGCCGAGAGCAGGGAUAGAUCUGUGUGAGAGAGAGAGAGAGCGAGCGAGCGCUAGAGCGAGAGAUCUCAGCGAGAGAGCGAGAUCUCAGCGAGAGAGCGAGAUCUCAGCGAGAGAGCGAGAUCUCAGCGAGAGAGCGAGAUCUCAGCGAGAGAGCGAG